RNAcentral lists this non-coding RNA (24 nucleotides) under Cricetulus griseus (Chinese hamster). Lineage: Eukaryota; Metazoa; Chordata; Mammalia; Rodentia; Cricetidae. The record is from RNAcentral.
AGAAUCAAAGAGGACUGGAGGCGC